RNAcentral lists this ribosomal RNA (168 nucleotides) under Caracanthus maculatus (spotted coral croucher). RNAcentral's name for it is "partial 12S rRNA". Lineage: Eukaryota; Metazoa; Chordata; Actinopteri; Perciformes; Caracanthidae. The record is from RNAcentral.
CACCGCGGUUAUACGAGAGACCCAAGUUGGUACUUCCCGGCGUAAAGCGUGGUUAAGGGGUAAACAAAUUAAAGCCAAACUUUUUCUGCGCCGUCAUACGCAUCCGAAAGAGGGAUGCCCAAUCACGAAGGUAGCUUUAAAUAUCCUGACCCCACGAAAGCCGCGGCA